This 284-nucleotide ribosomal RNA is filed under the name Salmonella enterica subsp. enterica serovar Weltevreden. RNAcentral's name for it is "partial 23S ribosomal RNA". It matches the Rfam family "Bacterial large subunit ribosomal RNA", at positions 2659 to 2925 of the family's 2925-position model. The record is from RNAcentral. Lineage: Bacteria; Pseudomonadati; Pseudomonadota; Gammaproteobacteria; Enterobacterales; Enterobacteriaceae.
GAACUGAGGGGGGCUGCUCCUAGUACGAGAGGACCGGAGUGGACGCAUCACUGGUGUUCGGGUUGUCAUGCCAAUGGCACUGCCCGGUAGCUAAAUGCGGAAGAGAUAAGUGCUGAAAGCAUCUAAGUACGAAACUUGCCCCGAGAUGAGUUCUCCCUGAGACUUUAGGUCUCCUGAAGGAACGUUGAAGACGACGACGUUGAUAGGCCGGGUGUGUAAGCGCAGCGAUGCGUUGAGCUAACCGGUACUAAUGAACCGUGAGGCUUAACCUUACAACGCCGAAG